Molecule: small RNA, 39 nt
Filed under: Arabidopsis thaliana (thale cress)
Lineage: Eukaryota; Viridiplantae; Streptophyta; Magnoliopsida; Brassicales; Brassicaceae
Description: ATSL308160
Source: RNAcentral
AAACCGAAAAAUUUUAAACCAAACAAAAUACAUGAAAAU